UCCUACGGGACGCAGCAGUGGGGAAUAUUGGACAAUGGGGGAAACCCUGAUCCAGCGACGCCGCGUGAGUGAAGAAGUAUUUCGGUAUGUAAAGCUCUAUCAGCAGGGAAGAAAAUGACGGUACCUGACUAAGAAGCCCCGGCUAACUACGUGCCAGCAGCCGCGGUAAUACGUAGGGGGCAAGCGUUAUCCGGAUUUACUGGGUGUAAAGGGAGCGUAGACGGCGUUGCAAGUCUGAUGUGAAAGAUUGGGGCUCAACCCCAGGCCUGCAUUGGAAACUGUAAAGCUGGAGUACAGGAGAGGUA
Molecule: ribosomal RNA, 305 nt
Filed under: uncultured bacterium
Lineage: Bacteria
Description: bacterial SSU rRNA
Rfam family: Bacterial small subunit ribosomal RNA
Source: RNAcentral